GAUGAACGCUGGCGGCGUGCCUAAUACAUGCAAGUCGAGCGAACAGACGAGGAGCUUGCUCCUCUGACGUUAGCGGCGGACGGGUGAGUAACACGUGGAUAACCUACCUAUAAGACUGGGAUAACUUCGGGAAACCGGAGCUAAUACCGGAUAAUAUAUUGAACCGCAUGGUUCAAUAGUGAAAGACGGUUUUGCUGUCACUUAUAGAUGGAUCCGCGCCGCAUUAGCUAGUUGGUAAGGUAACGGCUUACCAAGGCAACGAUGCGUAGCCGACCUGAGAGGGUGAUCGGACACACUGGAACUGAGACACGGUCCAGACUCCUACGGGAGGCAGCAGUAGGGAAUCUUCCGCAAUGGGCGCAAGCCUGACGGAGCAACGCAGCGUGAGUGAUGAAGGUCUUCGGAUCAUAAAACUCUGUUAUUAGGGAAGAACAAAUGUGUAAGUAACUAUGCACGUCUUGACGGUACCUAAUCAGAAAGCCACGGCUAACUACGUG
This 497-nucleotide ribosomal RNA is filed under the name uncultured bacterium. RNAcentral's name for it is "partial 16S ribosomal RNA". It matches the Rfam family "Bacterial small subunit ribosomal RNA", at positions 28 to 507 of the family's 1533-position model. The record is from RNAcentral.